AUUGAACGCUGGCGGAAUGCUUUACACAUGCAAGUCGAACGGCAGCACGGGGGCAGCCCUGGUGGCGAGUGGCGAACGGGUGAGUAAUACAUCGGAACGUGCCCGGUCGUGGGGGAUAACGUAGCGAAAGUUACGCUAAUACCGCAUACGAUCUGAGGAUGAAAGCGGGGGACCUUCGGGCCUCGCGCGAUCGGAGCGGCCGAUGUCAGAUUAGGUAGUUGGUGGGGUAAAGGCCUACCAAGCCGACGAUCUGUAGCUGGUCUGAGAGGACGACCAGCCACACUGGGACUGAGACACGGCCCAGACUCCUACGGGAGGCAGCAGUGGGGAAUUUUGGACAAUGGGCGCAAGCCUGAUCCAGCCAUUCCGCGUGCAGGACGAAGGCCUUCGGGUUGUAAAAUGCUUUUGUACGGAAAGAAAAGGCUCUGGCUAAUACCUGGGGCUCAUGACGGUACCGUAAGAAUAAGCACCGGCUAACUACGUG
Molecule: ribosomal RNA, 484 nt
Filed under: uncultured bacterium
Lineage: Bacteria
Description: partial 16S ribosomal RNA
Rfam family: Bacterial small subunit ribosomal RNA
Source: RNAcentral